Aricia agestis (brown argus) is the source of this 109-nucleotide long non-coding RNA. RefSeq lists it as uncharacterized. The transcript is spliced from 3 exons. The record is from RefSeq and is a predicted model, not a curated record. Lineage: Eukaryota; Metazoa; Arthropoda; Insecta; Lepidoptera; Lycaenidae.
UACUAUAUAAUAUUAUAAGUUACUCUAUGACGGGAACUACCGCACGCUAUAAGCUGAAGUCCACGCGGACGGAGUCGCGGGCAACAGCUAGUUAAAAAAAAAACAAUAU